GACGAACGCUGGCGGCGUGCCUAAUACAUGCAAGUCGAGCGGACCGAACAGGAGCUUGCUCUUGUUCGGUUAGCGGCGGACGGGUGAGUAACACGUGGGUAACCUGCCCGUAAGACCGGGAUAACUCCGGGAAACCGGAGCUAAUACCGUAUAACACCGAAGACCGCAUGGUCUUUGGUUGGAAGGCGGCUUCGGCUGCCACUUACGGAUGGGCCCGCGGCGCAUUAGCUAGUUGGUGAGGUAACGGCUCACCAAGGCGACGAUGCGUAGCCGGCCUGCGGGGGUGCCCGGCCACACUGGGACUGAGACACGGCCCAGCCUCCUACGGGAGGCAGCAGUAGGGAAUCUUCCGCAAUGGACGAAAGUCUGACGGAGCGACGCCGCGUGAGCGAAGAAGGUCUUCGGAUCGUAAAGCUCUGUUGUUAGGGAAGAAGAAGCGUCGUUCGAACAGGGCGGCGCGGUGACGGUACCUAACGAGAAAGCCCCGGCUAACUACGUG
RNAcentral lists this ribosomal RNA (499 nucleotides) under uncultured bacterium. Its description in RNAcentral is "partial 16S ribosomal RNA". It matches the Rfam family "Bacterial small subunit ribosomal RNA", at positions 28 to 507 of the family's 1533-position model. The record is from RNAcentral.